GAUUUCUGGUAUGGUGCGCCUGGCCCACCGUCGAAAGGCGCGUGCGUGUCGGAGUGCGUCUGCCAUCUUUCUAGAAAACGGUUCUCUCUUCAUUGGGCGGACCGGGGUCUAGAUCUUUUACUUUGAAAAAAUUAGAGUGUUUAAAGCAGGCUUGCGCUAUGAAUAUAUUAGCAUGGAAUAAUAAUUUAGGACUUUGUUUCUAUUUUGUUGGUUUCUAGGAAUGAAGUAAUGAUUGAUAGGGAUAGUUGGGGGUGCUAGUAUUCAGCGGCCAGAGGUGAAAUUCUUGGAUUCGCUGAAGACUAACUUAUGCGAAAGCAUU
Molecule: ribosomal RNA, 319 nt
Filed under: uncultured Paracercomonas
Lineage: Eukaryota; Cercozoa; Cercomonadida; Cercomonadidae
Description: SSU rRNA
Rfam family: Eukaryotic small subunit ribosomal RNA (bases 59-319)
Source: RNAcentral